GUGGGUAUAGCUCAGUGGCAGAGCAUGUGCUUAGCAUGUGCGAGGUCCUGGGUUCAAUCCCCAGUACCUCCA
Molecule: transfer RNA, 72 nt
Filed under: Camelus bactrianus (Bactrian camel)
Lineage: Eukaryota; Metazoa; Chordata; Mammalia; Artiodactyla; Camelidae
Also listed under: 2 other names
Rfam family: tRNA
About the family: Transfer RNA (tRNA) molecules are approximately 80 nucleotides in length.
Source: Rfam by way of RNAcentral